AGUGAACGCUGGCGGCAGGCCUAACACAUGCAAGUCGAGCGGCAGCGCGUCCGACCACCCUCGGGUGGUCGGAUGGCGGCGAGCGGCGGACGGGUGAGGAAUGCAUCGGAAUCUGCCUCGUUGUGGGGGAUAACGUAGGGAAACUUACGCUAAUACCGCAUACGACCUACGGGUGAAAGUGGGGGACCUUCGGGCCUCACGCGAUGAGAUGAGCCGAUGCCGGAUUAGCUAGUUGGCGGGGUAAAGGCCCACCAAGGCGACGAUCCGUAGCUGGUCUGAGAGGAUGAUCAGCCACACUGGAACUGAGACACGGUCCAGACUCCUACGGGAGGCAGCAGUGGGGAAUAUUGGACAAUGGGGGCAACCCUGAUCCAGCCAUGCCGCGUGUGUGAAGAAGGCCUCGGUUG
This 407-nucleotide ribosomal RNA is filed under the name uncultured bacterium. RNAcentral's name for it is "bacterial SSU rRNA". It matches the Rfam family "Bacterial small subunit ribosomal RNA", at positions 30 to 425 of the family's 1533-position model. The record is from RNAcentral.